This 427-nucleotide ribosomal RNA is filed under the name uncultured bacterium. RNAcentral describes it as "partial 16S ribosomal RNA". It matches the Rfam family "Bacterial small subunit ribosomal RNA", at positions 355 to 774 of the family's 1533-position model. The record is from RNAcentral.
UGGGGAAUAUUGGACAAUGGGCGAAAGCCUGAUCCAGCCAUGCCGCGUGUGUGAAGAAGGUCUUCGGAUUGUAAAGCACUUUAAGUUGGGAGGAAGGGCAUUAACCUAAUACGUUAGUGUUUUGACGUUACCGACAGAAUAAGCACCGGCUAACUCUGUGCCCGCAGCCGCGGUAAUACAGAGGGUGCAAGCGUUAAUCGGAAUUACUGGGCGUAAAGCGCGCGUAGGUGGUUUGUUAAGUUGGAUGUGAAAUCCCCGGGCUCAACCUGGGAACUGCAUUCAAAACUGACUGACUAGAGUAUGGUAGAGGGUGGUGGAAUUUCCUGUGUAGCGGUGAAAUGCGUAGAUAUAGGAAGGAACACCAGUGGCGAAGGCGACCACCUGGACUAAUACUGACACUGAGGUGCGAAAGCGUGGGGAGCAAACA